Molecule: transfer RNA, 73 nt
Filed under: invertebrate metagenome
Description: tRNA-Ala-CGC
Rfam family: tRNA
About the family: Transfer RNA (tRNA) molecules are approximately 80 nucleotides in length. Their secondary structure includes four short double-helical elements and three loops (D, anti-codon, and T loops). Further hydrogen bonds mediate the characteristic L-shaped molecular structure. tRNAs have two regions of fundamental functional importance: the anti-codon, which is responsible for specific mRNA codon recognition, and the 3' end, to which the tRNAs corresponding amino acid is attached (by aminoacyl-tRNA synthetases). tRNAs cope with the degeneracy of the genetic code in two manners: having more than one tRNA (with a specific anti-codon) for a particular amino acid; and 'wobble' base-pairing, i.e. permitting non-standard base-pairing at the 3rd anti-codon position.
Source: RNAcentral
GGGGCCAUAGCUCAGUUGGGAGAGUGUCUCGUUCGCAAUGAGAAGGUCAGGGGUUCAAUUCCCCUUGGCUCCA